GAGUUGUCGGCGACGUUUUUCGGUGGUGGUUGAUUCCAACGAAGCUCGUAGUCUCGUUUUGUUGUCCCCAAAAAGGUAAACACACCUUUUUUUAUUUUAGUUUUUAUUAGUAUUUUCUUCUUCAUCUUUUUUCUUCUUCGUAGUUCGUAGAUAUAAUUUUGUUUGCUUGGAUUGUAUGCUGUAGAUGGCCUUGAAGGCCCUAGAACGUUGUG
This 212-nucleotide long non-coding RNA is filed under the name Capsicum annuum. RNAcentral's name for it is "long non-coding RNA (CANN_LNC012936)". Lineage: Eukaryota; Viridiplantae; Streptophyta; Magnoliopsida; Solanales; Solanaceae. The record is from RNAcentral.